GAGAGUGAGAAAACUGGGCCAGUCGGAGCUCUCAAGGCUGUGGAAGUGACACAGCAGUGGAAAAAGUGCAGAAAUAUCAGCACCUGGGGGGACAAGGAAGGAGUAUGACAAGAGCAGAAGAACUGGAGUCCCCGGGGUAUCCCAGCAGGCGCUCGUGGGAAGUGGUAGAAAGGCAAUGAUGGGUUCCUUACCAGCCUUGGACUCUCCGGCAGCCACGUGAAGCCUCUUCAGUCGGAGGGCUCUCCUCUCCUCCCCUCUCCGCUGUUGACAUGCUCUGCAUUUUUGCCAGCAAAGCCCUCCAUGGAGCCCCAAGUGAAGGACUGCAGAGCUGCUGGGUUUGUGCUGACUGCUCUUGGCAGGACCAGGAGCUCUGAGAUGACCAGAGUGCAUUCCACACAGGCAGAAGGAAAGCUGUCACUGCUGCCAGUUCUUCAGGUGAGAGCAGGGCCUGAGGAAGACACAUGCAGAAAGAUGCAGGCUAGCCAUGCUUGGGAGGGAGCACAGCCUGUGAGCUGAACCUUUGCUGGCAACCAGCUGCUGCUUGCUUUUGCUUUGCUGCAGCUAUUCGCCCA
Molecule: long non-coding RNA, 572 nt
Organism: Dromaius novaehollandiae (emu)
Lineage: Eukaryota; Metazoa; Chordata; Aves; Casuariiformes; Dromaiidae
Exons: 3
Source: RefSeq, a predicted model, not a curated record